GGUAAACGCUGGCGGCGUGCCUAAAACAUGCAAGUCGAACGGGCAGUCUUCGGAUUGUCAGUGGCAGACGGCUGAGUAACGCGUGGGUGACGUACCUGAUGGUGGGGAAUAACUGCCCGAAAGGGUGGCUAAUUCCGCAUACGCCCGGUUCUUCGUUGGACUGGGGAAAGCUUCGUGAGAGGCGCCAAUGGAGCGGCCCGCGUUCGAUUAGCUGGUUGGUGGGGUAACGGCCUACCAAGGCGACGAUCGAUAGCUGGUCUUAGAGGAUGAUCAGCCA
RNAcentral lists this ribosomal RNA (277 nucleotides) under uncultured bacterium. RNAcentral describes it as "partial 16S ribosomal RNA". It matches the Rfam family "Bacterial small subunit ribosomal RNA", at positions 28 to 310 of the family's 1533-position model. The record is from RNAcentral.